RNAcentral lists this ribosomal RNA (793 nucleotides) under Clostridioides difficile. RNAcentral's name for it is "partial 23S ribosomal RNA". It matches the Rfam family "Bacterial large subunit ribosomal RNA", at positions 683 to 1483 of the family's 2925-position model. The record is from RNAcentral. Lineage: Bacteria; Bacillati; Bacillota; Clostridia; Peptostreptococcales; Peptostreptococcaceae.
UUUAACUGAGCGUUCAGUUACUUGACGUAGACCCGAAACCGGGCGACCUACCCAUGAGCAGGAUGAAGCGAAAGUAAAAUUUCGUGGAGGUCCGAACCCACGAGCGUUGAAAAGCUCGGGGAUGACUUGUGGGUAGCGGUGAAAUUCCAAUCGAGCCCGGAGAUAGCUGGUUCUCCCCGAAAUAGCUUUAGGGCUAGCCUCAAGGUGAGAGAUACGGAGGUAGAGCACUGAAUGUCCUAGGGGGUAUUGCACCUACCGAAGACUAUCAAACUCCGAAUGCCGUCAUCUUAUACUUGGGAGUCAGACUGUGGGUGAUAAGAUUCAUAGUCGAAAGGGCAACAGCCCAGAUCGUCAGCUAAGGUCCCUAAAUGUAAGUUAAGUGGUAAAGGAUGUGGGAUUGCACAGACAACCAGGAUGUUGGCUUAGAAGCAGCCACUCAUUCAAAGAGUGCGUAAUAGCUCACUGGUCGAGUGAUCCUGCGCCGAAGAUUUCCGGGGCUAAAACUUACUACCGAAGCUACGGCAUCAGUAAUGAUGGGUAGGGGAGCUUCCCAUACGGGUUGAAGCAUGACCGUAAGGACAUGUGGACAGUAUGGGAGUGAGAAUGUUGGCAUGAGUAGCGAGAUGUGGGUGAGAAUCCCACAGGCCGUAAACCCAAGGUUUCCAGGGGAAGGUUCGUCCGCCCUGGGUUAGUCGGGACCUAAGCUGAGGCCGAAAGGCGUAGGUGAUGGACAACAGGUUGAUAUUCCUGUACUACCGAUAACCGUUUGAGAGAAGGGAUGACACAGUAGGAU